This 536-nucleotide long non-coding RNA is filed under the name Pan troglodytes (chimpanzee). RNAcentral describes it as "lincRNA". The record is from RNAcentral. Lineage: Eukaryota; Metazoa; Chordata; Mammalia; Primates; Hominidae.
CCUCUCCAGGUACACAUAUUUCCUGCUGCUCAAUGGCUUAGACUGGGAUUUGCAAGGAAGUACGAAGUCCAAGACCUUUGCCUUUCUUUUAGAAGAAGGCACCAGCUGGUUCUCCAAUGUUGAAGGUCUUCUCCAGAGAUACCUUAAGGUAUGGGGAGAUUACAACUUGCUCAAGGUCUCAUAGCUAGAAGAUGUCAGAGUGAUAACUCAAACCAUGUCACGUGACUCUAAGCCCAAAGCGGCCUCUAGAAGGUUGUUUGAUCUUCUGAUGGAAGCACAAAUCACCAUUCCAACAUGAAAGAUGGAGAAACUUAAGUCUAGAAAGAUUUAAAGGACUUGUCAAAGGCAAUGAAACAAGUGGAACUCUGAAAGCCACAUGUUGAGAUGGCCCCAUUACAGGAUGGAGAGCACCUGAACCCCCAAGUUAUGGACAAGAAGAAGACAGUUGCCUUGGAAAAUCAUCUGACCCACAUUGGACUUUACGUGAGGGGGAAAUAAACCUUUAUUAUGUUAAGCUACACAAUAAUAAAUAACAA